RNAcentral lists this ribosomal RNA (1821 nucleotides) under activated sludge metagenome. RNAcentral describes it as "bacterial LSU rRNA". The stretch from base 242 to 1821 matches the Rfam family "Bacterial large subunit ribosomal RNA". The record is from RNAcentral.
CCAAUCCCCGAAGCGCUAGUGAACGUCGGCGAUAACUAUAAUCGUCCUAAGGUUCCGGAAAUUUCCUCGGAAGUUUUCGGAAGGACUGGGACGGUUAUAGGAAUGUGUGAAGAAAUGUGGAAGAAAAGGAAAAGUAAUUGCUUCUUUCGGAGAAAUCCGGAAGGUCCGAAAAUACUUAGCCAUAUGCUGGAAAAUCUGGAGUAUCUGAUGAUACUAUGGUAAAAUUAUUCCAUAGAAAUAUGGAAGAGUGAUGCCGAGUGAAAAAUCAAUCAGUGUGUCUCGCUUUAAUCGUGAGACGCCAGACAAUCAGCAGGAAAGACUGAAGACCGUUGGCUGGGUCAUCGGGUAUGUGGAUGGGGAAGGAUGUUUUUCAGUGAGUCUGCUCAGGAAUACCACCACGAAAAGUGGUUGGCAGACAUUUCCGGAGUUUGUGGUGACACAAAGCGGAAAGAGUAAGGCUUCAUUGGAAAUAUUGCGAGAUUUCUUCGGAUGCGGGAAGAUAUUUGUGAAUCGACGGUAUGAUAACCACCGAGAGCACAUCUAUCGAUACUGUGUCCGAUCACAAGAGGAACUUCGCGAAAAGAUCAUUCCUUUCUUUAUGGAAAAUCCGCUCCGAACCGCCAAACGAAAAGAUUUCGAGCAUUUUUCUUUUAUCCUCAAUCAGAUGAGACUCAAACGACAUCUGACGGAGACUGGUAUGCAUAUGAUUGCCAGAAGGAUUGAGAAAAUGAAUCACAAGAAAGCUUCCCGGUUUUUAGAAUCCUCAGAGACCAAAUGCUAAGCGCGUAAUCGAUACGUGAAAAGAGAGUCCGUGCUCAUCGGCGACGAUGAGAAUAACACUACAGAGCGAAAUUCCUUGACAGGUAAGUUCUGUCCCGCAUGAAAGGUGUAACGAUUUGGAAACUGUCUCAACGAACAUCCCGGUGAAAUUGCAAUGACGGUAAAGAUGCCGUCGACCUGCAGCAAGACGAAAAGACCCCAUGGAGCUUUACUAUAACUUGGUAUUGACUUAAAGUUUUUGUUGCCGAGCAUAGGUGGAAGACUUUGAAGCGCCCCUUCCGGGGGGCGUGGAGUCGACAAUUGGAAUACCACCCUGCAGAGAUUUUAAUUCUAACCUGCCGCCGUAAUCCGGCGGGGGGACAGUGCCUGGCGGGUAGUUUGACUGGGGCGGUCGCCUCCUAAAGAGCAACGGAGGCGUUUACUAAGGUUGGCUAGGUCCGGAUGGAAAUCGGGCCGAUAGCGCAAAAGCACAAGCCAGCUUUACUGAGAGACCGAUCAGUUAAUCAGUUACGAAAGUAGAAUUUAGUGAACCGACCAUCACUCGUAGGAGUGUGGAAGAUCAUCAGAUAAAAGUUACCCUGGGGAUAACAGGCUGAUCUUGCCCAAGAGUCCAUAUCGACGGCAAGGUUUGGCACCUCGAUGUCGGCUCAUCGCAUCCUGGGGGUGGAGAAGCUCCCAAGGGUUUGGCUGUUCGCCAAUUAAAGCGGUACGCGAGCUGGGUUCAAACCGUCGUGAGACAGGUUGGUUUCCUAUCUGCUGUGGGCGUGUGUGACUUGAGAGAGCUCUUUCCUAGUACGAGAGGACCGGAAAGAACAAACCUCUGGUGUACGAGCUGUUCCGCCAGGAGCACUGCUCGGUAGCUAUGUUUGGGUAGGAUAACCGCUGAAAGCAUCUAAGCGGGAAGCCAAACUCAAGAUAAGGUCACGGUUCUGAUUUAUCAGAACAAGAUUCCCUGGAAGAUGACCAGGUUGAUAGGCCGCAGGUGGAAGCGUGGUGACACGUUAAGCCAAGCGGUACUAAUGAAAUCUAAUGACUAUUUCU